AGCCUGAUCAGCCAUGCCGCGUGCAGGAUGACGGUCCUAUGGGAUUGUAAACUGCUUUUAUACGGAGAAAAAACACUCCUACGUGUAGGAGCUUGACGGUAUCGUAAGAAUAAGGAUCGGCUAACUCCGUGCCAGCAGCCGCGGUAAUACGGAGGAUCCAAGCGUUAUCCGGAAUCAUUGGGUUUAAAGGGUCCGUAGGCGGUUUAAUAAGUCAGGGGUGAAAGCCCAUCGCUCAACGGUGGAACGGCCAUUGAUACUGUUAAACUUGAAUUAUUAGGAAGUAACUAGAAUAUGUAGUGUAGCGGUGAAAUGCUUAGAGAUUACAUGGAAUACCAAUUGCGAAGGCAGGUUACUACUAAUGGAUUGACGCUGAUGGACGAAAGCGUGGGUAGCGAACAGGAUUAGAUACCCUGGUAGUCCACGCCGUAAACGAUGGAUACUAGCUGUUGGAAGCAAUUUCAGUGGCUAAGCGAAAGUGAUAAGUAUCCCACCUGGGGAGUACGUUCGCAAGAAUGAAACUC
RNAcentral lists this ribosomal RNA (521 nucleotides) under uncultured Flavobacterium sp. RNAcentral's name for it is "bacterial SSU rRNA". It matches the Rfam family "Bacterial small subunit ribosomal RNA", at positions 380 to 902 of the family's 1533-position model. The record is from RNAcentral. Lineage: Bacteria; Pseudomonadati; Bacteroidota; Flavobacteriia; Flavobacteriales; Flavobacteriaceae.